GAUGGUAAGUAAUGCACCCACCUGUAGGAUCCCCAGUACAGGAAGAACACUGACUUAUUGGAACAAGUCCAGAGGAGGGUCACCAAAACCCUAUUAGGGUCACAGAGUACAUCUUCUGUGAGGAAAAGCUAGGAGAAUUGGAAUUGUUCAUCCUGGAGAAAAGAAAUCUUUGGGAUUACCUAUUUUUGGCUUUCCAGUACUUUCAGGGAGGCUACAAGAAAAAUGGAGAGAGACUAAUUACAAGGACUUGUAACUAGAGGACAAGAGAAAUGGCUUCAACCUGAAAGACUGUAGGUAUAGUGGAAGAUGUCCCUGCCCACGUCAUCAGAGGUGUUGGAACUAGAUGAUCUUUAAGAUUCCUUCUGACCUAGGCCAUUCUAACAUCUUAUAAUUCUAUAACUAUAUUUCUAUAUUUCUACAAUUCUAUAAUUCUAUAAUAAACAGAAAUUUUAAAAUGAAAAAGUGUAAGCGUGUGUAAAGUUUUACAUGGUUUACAUGGUUAACUCUAUUUAUGAGGUUCUAACAUUUUUGAGGAUCUAGUACACACUGAUGUGUCAAAUUAGUGUUUUUCUAAUAAAAGUACUGUUGGCUGAGCUUCUCAACAAGGGAGACCAGAAGCUGGAUUGCCAAAGAGAUCAGGAAGCAGUGCCAGUCUUUCACCUGCCUGUACACUGGACUAUUCUCUGCUCCAUGGUCUUUUUGACUGAAAAAAAAAAAAAAAAGCUAGAAAUUUAUUUCAAGAUGAGUGCCUAAUUUUACGACAUUUUCCUGUGUUGCCCCAUGAAAGUCUGAGGUGGAAAGCUCUUCAUUUAUGAACCAGACAGGGUUAUAAAACAAGUAUUGCCAGUUUCGCCUCACAUUAGCAUUCAUUUCAUGAUUUUUUUUUAUUUUUUUCUCUGAUAGAAGAACUGCCUACACCCCUGCUCACCAUGGCAACUGAAGAAUCUAGCAGCAGACUCAGGCAACACUCUAUGAAAUUGCAAGAGAAAGAGAGCUGUCUACCUAUAUUUCAGAUGGAAUCACCCAGCAUGGGAGGAGUACAACAAAUAGUGUGUCUGUUUGCAUGUUACACUGGAGUAUGCUGAGGGUUGCAGUAGAAUGAAGGACAAGAUCAACAAAAUGAAGAAAGCAGAUCUAAUGUCACAGGAAGUGGAGCCAGAGUAGGACAAUCAAAGGCAAAUAUGACUAAAACAAAGAAAUGGAAAGACAAAGCUAUUUUGUUAGACAUUGUGAAAUAUGAACACGGACUGGGCCAGGAGUAAGUGACUUUCUUCUGUGAGAUUGUGCUGUCACAGAGCAUUACACCUAGUCAAGAAUUUUGUGUGGUCAUCAUCAAGUCCAUCACCUUCUCCAGCUUUUCUUGAGCUGAAGACAAAGCCGUUUCAGUGUGAGUGGAGGCUGCCAUCGUUUGCAUUAUCAUCAUUUGGAUACCUGUGAAACAAAAAGGUGCUAAUUCGUCCUCUUUUACUACAGGAGAUUUAUUAUAGGAUUUUCACAUUCUUUGAUGGACAGGAUUGUAUGCAGAGACAGAUCUUCAAUCAGAUCCAGCUGUCAGCUGUUCACCUUGUAGAAAUUUUUGGGCAGCAUAUAUUGUGCUGAAAACAGUGGUUUUCCUCACCUGUGUUGGGAAGUACUGUGAUCCAGGUAUUUAGGUAUGUCACUCCUAAUCUCCUUCUGAACUGACAAACUAAACUAAGUUAAUCAAAACCUCAAUUAUUCUCUGGUUUUCUUGGAGCAAAAGUUGGGGAUUUUUAAAGUUUGAGGCUUUCUCAAUAGUGAUUGAUUUUCUCUCUUAAAAAGACACAGUAAGUAAAAUAAAUGAUCAAUAAAACUGUUUUUGCUGGAGUUGACCCAGUUGAUAUCACUGUUAGAAGCUCAAACUUGGACAGCCAUUUUUCAUAAUUUCACCAGAGAGUUGAUGCAAUAGGUACUGAAUUUUAACAGCCUUAGGCAAAACUUCUGGUCUUAUUUAAAUCUCUGCAUAAGGUCUGGGUCUAGUUUGGUUUUUUUAACUCAUCUGCAAAUAAUUUCAUAACUCCUUUCCACUGUGAAAGAUGGAAGUGAAAAACUUGUAUGUCUGGAAUUUAAAAAGAAUUUUUUUAAAAAUUGAACAAUUUUCAGUGAGUAU
Prinia subflava (tawny-flanked prinia) is the source of this 2128-nucleotide long non-coding RNA. RefSeq lists it as uncharacterized. The record is from RefSeq and is a predicted model, not a curated record. The transcript has 4 exons. NCBI's taxonomy places the organism in Eukaryota, Metazoa, Chordata, Aves, Passeriformes, Cisticolidae.